Molecule: long non-coding RNA, 378 nt
Filed under: Homo sapiens (human)
Lineage: Eukaryota; Metazoa; Chordata; Mammalia; Primates; Hominidae
Description: HSALNT0230976
Source: RNAcentral
CUGAAUGCUCACUUCUAAGGCAUUCUCUGGCUUUCACCUUGUUCUCACGGAGCCAAGAAGGGAGAUGAGUAAGAGUAACUGGACAAGCUCUUAUCAGAAUUAGAAAGUUCAGUUCUGUCUUUGGAAUGAUUUCAUGUCUAUACACUUUCUUCCACUAGACACCAAGCAAUGCUCCAUGAGCACCAAACCUUGAUCUUAGAUGGCCAUCAGCAUAUCUCUGUGAAGGUGUUAUCCCAACAUGGUUUUGCAACCAUUGCCCUUCCCAACAAGAAGUCCUUUCUUUAGACCCACAAACUGGAGCACACACAGUGUAUUAUGUCAGUUCAGUGUCCCCGGAACUGUGUCCCACACAGCGUAUUAAAUCUGAAGCACAAUAGG